CUUACCAUGCAGUCGAACGGUAACAGGUCUUCGGACGCUGACGAGUGGCGAACGGGUGAGUAAUACAUCGGAACGUGCCCAGUCGUGGGGGAUAACUACUCGAAAGAGUAGCUAAUACCGCAUACGAUCUGAGGAUGAAAGCGGGGGACCUUCGGGCCUCGCGCGAUUGGAGCGGCCGAUGGCAGAUUAGGUAGUUGGUGGGAUAAAAGCUUACCAAGCCGACGAUCUGUAGCUGGUCUGAGAGGACGACCAGCCACACUGGGACUGAGACACGGCCCAGACUCCUACGGGAGGCAGCAGUGGGGAAUUUUGGACAAUGGGCGAAAGCCUGAUCCAGCAAUGCCGCGUGCAGGAUGAAGGCCUUCGGGUUGUAAACUGCUUUUGUACGGAACGAAAAAGCUCCUUCUAAUACAGGGGGCCCAUGACGGUACCGUAAGAAUAAGCACCGGCUAACUACGUGCCAGCAGCCGCGGUAAUACGUAGGGUGCGAGCGUUAAUCGGAAUUACUGGGCGUAAAGCGUGCGCAGGCGGUUAUGUAAGACAGAUGUGAAAUCCCCGGGCUCAACCUGGGAACUGCAUUUGUGACUGCAUGGCUAGAGUACGGUAGAGGGGGAUGGAAUUCCGCGUG
RNAcentral lists this ribosomal RNA (628 nucleotides) under Delftia tsuruhatensis. RNAcentral describes it as "bacterial SSU rRNA". It matches the Rfam family "Bacterial small subunit ribosomal RNA", at positions 48 to 675 of the family's 1533-position model. Lineage: Bacteria; Pseudomonadati; Pseudomonadota; Betaproteobacteria; Burkholderiales; Comamonadaceae. The record is from RNAcentral.